Molecule: long non-coding RNA, 1609 nt
Organism: Meriones unguiculatus (Mongolian gerbil)
Lineage: Eukaryota; Metazoa; Chordata; Mammalia; Rodentia; Muridae
Exons: 7
Source: RefSeq, a predicted model, not a curated record
UUGGAACUGACCUGAAAACCUUUUCCCUGCUGGCCAGUUUUCAUGAUGCUGGAGGGCACCAUGCAGUCCCAGUAAGGAGGAAAAGUCAUCUGUGGACUUAGCCAGCAGUGGAUCCUGCGAAUCACCCACCAGUCCUUGUGCCUCCUCAACACAAACUACUGGCUGCAAACCCCUGGACAGCGCUGUCUGUUGACUCAGCCACCACAAUGAGCCCCCUCAGGUGCGUGAGAGCAGACGGCCUGCGUGCAGCAACACGGCUGUGGAGACUUACUGUUGUCAUCUCAUCCACGGUCCCAGCAACCUCACGCCUCUGCAGGUCUCGUGUGGCCUGUCACAGAUGGGAUCUGCUUCUGCCCUGGCCUCCCACUUACUGAAGCCCACACAAGCCUCUUGGAACACGCAUGAGUCAAGGGGCUUCAGAAAUGGAAAGACAGAAAAUUCCACAAUUGAAACCAGAAGGAAACAACCAGGAGCUGGUUGCCAAGCCCUGUCCUUCCUCAUCCUUAUCUAUCCUCCCUCCCUCCACCCCCUCCAGAUAUCAAGCUAAAGGGUCAGAGCUAGCAGUCUUCUCUAUGGAACUUGCCAAGAGGAUGUUUCCGUUAGCUUUCUGACUCCUAGCUCUCCGUCCAUCUUGAAGCUUAAGGAGCCAAGGACAUCGAAGCCACAGCCUCACAGGUCCCUUCACCCCCUCGGCACCACAGCUGCCAACUUAGGAUAUCUGAUGUCUGACCCCUGUGAAAGAAUUGUUCAACCCCCAAAUGAGUUUUGAUCCACGGGUUGAGAACCACUGCCUUCACAGAAGUAGAGCAAGACCAGAGAGAACCCUGGGAGUAGUUGUAAGCUGCCAUGUGGGCACUGCUCCCCGAAAGAGCGGUCAUAUCCAGAAAAGAUACUCCCAAGAAUGGCUCUCAGGGAAGAUACUACAGUUUAAUUGCCUACAUGAAGGAAGAGGCAAUUACAGCAGAGCUAUUGGAGUUUCGGCUUUUAGGUGGUGAACGUGUCGGCUUAGCGAAGCUGCAGUACCAGGUCCUGCCACGAGAGGACACGGAGCCGCCGGACACCCCCUCUUCAAUCAAAUCUGCAAGAGGUCAAAGGCGCCCCCUCCUCUAAGCUGAGUCUGCAUCUGCGCGCGCAGCUGGAAGUCCUCCGCAAUCCUCACCUCCAAACGGGCUCCUUUUUCCUCCGAAAGGUGAUCUGGAAGUACCCGGAGGUCUUAAGUGAUUAAUGAUUGCCAGUCAUAACGGACGGCAGCGUUUAAAGGCAGAAGAGCACUAAUAGAAAUGUUGUUUACUCUUUCUAACUCAUCCCAAACUUGCUCCUUAGUUCUUUUGCCAAUUAUAAAAAGCCACCUAGGCAGCGUCCACAUACCUCAGCACACAGCCUUGGAGGGCCAGAGUCCCUACCUCAGCACUCUGCCAAUGUCAUGUUUUAAGGAGCAAUUCUUCCUACCCAGGCAUCUGGCUCAGGAGGCAGUCCGCUCGAAGCGUGCUUUUCUGUCAUUAAUCUCAUCUUUGUUACGUGAUAUCCACGUGAGUCCUUUUUAGUGGAAGCAGCUUCAGGCUCAAGCGCUCAAAGAACACUGGAAUAAAGCUUCGAUUGUCCUAUUCAA